RNAcentral lists this ribosomal RNA (198 nucleotides) under uncultured bacterium. Its description in RNAcentral is "partial 16S ribosomal RNA". It matches the Rfam family "Bacterial small subunit ribosomal RNA", at positions 328 to 539 of the family's 1533-position model. The record is from RNAcentral.
ACGCUCGACACCUACGGGAGGUAGCAGUGGGGGAUAUUGCACAAUGGAGGAAACUCUGAUGCAGCGACGCCGCGUGAGGGAAGAAGGUUUUCGGAUUGUAAACCUCUGUCUUCGGUGACGAAAAUGACGGUAGCCGAGGAGGAAGCCACGGCUAACUACGUGCCAGUAGCCGCGGUAAUCUGAGCGGGCUGGCAAGGC